RNAcentral lists this ribosomal RNA (1305 nucleotides) under Salmonella enterica subsp. enterica serovar Typhimurium. RNAcentral's name for it is "partial 23S ribosomal RNA". It matches the Rfam family "Bacterial large subunit ribosomal RNA", at positions 1580 to 2861 of the family's 2925-position model. Lineage: Bacteria; Pseudomonadati; Pseudomonadota; Gammaproteobacteria; Enterobacterales; Enterobacteriaceae. The record is from RNAcentral.
CGGUGCUGAAGCAACAAAUGCCCUGCUUCCAGGAAAAGCCUCUAAGCAUCAGGUAACACGAAAUCGUACCCCAAACCGACACAGGUGGUCAGGUAGAGAAUACCAAGGCGCUUGAGAGAACUCGGGUGAAGGAACUAGGCAAAAUGGUGCCGUAACUUCGGGAGAAGGCACGCUGACACGUAGGUGAAGUGAUUUACUCAUGGAGCUGAAGUCAGUCGAAGAUACCAGCUGGCUGCAACUGUUUAUUAAAAACACAGCACUGUGCAAACACGAAAGUGGACGUAUACGGUGUGACGCCUGCCCGGUGCCGGAAGGUUAAUUGAUGGGGUCAGCGUAAGCGAAGCUCCUGAUCGAAGCCCCGGUAAACGGCGGCCGUAACUAUAACGGUCCUAAGGUAGCGAAAUUCCUUGUCGGGUAAGUUCCGACCUGCACGAAUGGCGUAAUGAUGGCCAGGCUGUCUCCACCCGAGACUCAGUGAAAUUGAACUCGCUGUGAAGAUGCAGUGUACCCGCGGCAAGACGGAAAGACCCCGUGAACCUUUACUAUAGCUUGACACUGAACAUUGAGCCUUGAUGUGUAGGAUAGGUGGGAGGCUUUGAAGUGUGGACGCCAGUCUGCAUGGAGCCGACCUUGAAAUACCACCCUUUAAUGUUUGAUGUUCUAACGUGGACCCGUAAUCCGGGUUGCGGACAGUGUCUGGUGGGUAGUUUGACUGGGGCGGUCUCCUCCUAAAGAGUAACGGAGGAGCACGAAGGUUGGCUAAUCCUGGUCGGACAUCAGGAGGUUAGUGCAAUGGCAUAAGCCAGCUUGACUGCGAGCGUGACGGCGCGAGCAGGUGCGAAAGCAGGUCAUAGUGAUCCGGUGGUUCUGAAUGGAAGGGCCAUCGCUCAACGGAUAAAAGGUACUCCGGGGAUAACAGGCUGAUACCGCCCAAGAGUUCAUAUCGACGGCGGUGUUUGGCACCUCGAUGUCGGCUCAUCACAUCCUGGGGCUGAAGUAGGUCCCAAGGGUAUGGCUGUUCGCCAUUUAAAGUGGUACGCGAGCUGGGUUUAGAACGUCGUGAGACAGUUCGGUCCCUAUCUGCCGUGGGCGCUGGAGAACUGAGGGGGGCUGCUCCUAGUACGAGAGGACCGGAGUGGACGCAUCACUGGUGUUCGGGUUGUCAUGCCAAUGGCACUGCCCGGUAGCUAAAUGCGGAAGAGAUAAGUGCUGAAAGCAUCUAAGCACGAAACUUGCCCCGAGAUGAGUUCUCCCUGAGACUUAGAGUCUCCUGAAGGAACGUUGAAGACGACGACGUUGAUAGGC